ACGCACGCUGGCGGCGUGCUUCACACCUGCCAGUCGAACGGUGAAGCGCUUUCCUUUUUGGUUGGUGUGGAUGAGUGGCGAACGGGUGAGUAACACGUGAGUAACCUGCCCCCUUCUUCUGGAUAACCGCAUGAAAGUGUGGCUAAUACGGGAUAUUCUGCGCCUGCUGCAUGGUGGGUGUGGGAAAGAUUGUGCCUUUGGGUGUUUUCGGUGGGGGAUGGGCUCGCGGCCUAUCAGCUUGUUGGUGGGGUGAUGGCCUACCAAGGCGGUGACGGGUAGCCGGCCUGAGAGGGUGGACGGUCACACUGGGACUGAGACACGGCCCAGACUCCUACGGGAGGCAGCAGUGGGGAAUAUUGCACAAUGGGCGCAAGCCUGAUGCAGCGACGCCGCGUGAGGGAGGGAGGCCUUCGGGUUGUGAACCUCUUUCGCCAGUGAAGCAGGCCUGCUCCUUGUGGGUGGGUUGACGGUAGCUGGAUAAGAAGCGCCGGCUAACUACGUG
RNAcentral lists this ribosomal RNA (502 nucleotides) under uncultured bacterium. Its description in RNAcentral is "partial 16S ribosomal RNA". It matches the Rfam family "Bacterial small subunit ribosomal RNA", at positions 29 to 507 of the family's 1533-position model. The record is from RNAcentral.